CCACGAGGCAAGGGGAAGAAUCAAAAACGCGGGGCAAAGACCAGUACGGCGGCAGCGUGAAACAACGCCAAGGACGGAAAGAAACAGGCAACCACAGGAGUCUGACUCAAUGGCCACGAAUCCGUGGAUAGGCCUCCCCGUGACAGGCGGGGCCUGAGGUCCCCCGCCCUUGAUGCUGUGAGUGCUUUGAGCCCCAGAGGAUGUGAAGGGGACACUGCACCAGUUUCUGGGCUCAGCCCUCACGAGACUGGUAGCUUCCACCUCCUCCCUGAAAACACUCUGUGAGCCGCUGGGUGAGAAAUCGACUCCCCCAACACGGCCCAGCUGGACAGGCCAUCUGUAGGUGCUCCGGCCCAUGACCCCAGCGGAGGCCACUGCGUCUAAACGUCACACGUGUGCGUGAGGCCACCCUGGACCUCCCAGCGCAGCCAUCUGCCUGCUGAAUUUCACCGGAGCCGCCUUGGUCAACACAACAAGGUAAAGGAUCACCCAACCGAGAGAUGCCUGAAUUCCUGACCCUCGGCAUCAUGAGACGUGAUGAAAUGGUUGUUGUUUUGAGCUGCUGACUUCGGGGAUGGUUUGUUACUCAGCAGUUUGCCACCAGAGCAGCAUCUGUCUCCCACCGGACCAUCCUCUCCUGACCAUUCAGUCCUCAGCCCAGCACGAGGUGGGCACCACCCAGCGCAUGUGGAGAGGGUGAUGCCACCGUACUCUUUGCUUUCAUACAACAUGGUGAGUCUCUGCUAAAGAGACCUGGGCCUCAGUCCCAGAGGAUGGGUGAAUUCACAGAGCGGUGACACGCACCGAGAGGUCCCAGCAAUGCCCGUCUGAAAGCGCCGGCCCAGCCCUGAAGCCGUGCUCUUCAAGCAGACGUGCGAUGCCUCCAUCUGACAGAAUGAGGGCAGGGGAGCGAGGUGCUCCAACGCUCAUGCUGGCUCCGCAGGUGCUGGGCGAGGCCUCCCUCCAGCCUCGGGGAGCUCCAGGGCCCCCGACUCUGGCUUCACACCCCUGCCAGCACUUCCUUCCUGUCCCUCCGUCCCCUGGGGCUGGAAGUAGCACGUGCAGCCUCCCUUCUGUCCAUCGGUUGCUGGUCCCCUGGGUAAUUUCCCAGGCACCGGCUUCUCUCACAGCAUCCCCAGCUGUCCACAUACUGCGGCCUCAGGGAGUUCAAUUCCUGGGGCAAAAUCCAGGAUUCUGGAUGUUGCAUGCAGCUGGCAACCGCUGCCCUUGGAAUCCCAGACUGAGCUCCACUUCAAUGUUCAUACUUUUCUCCCAAGAAAACGUUCAUUUGUACCCAGCCUCUUCUGUUCUUUUCCUCCCAAGAUUAAAGCACAAACAUCCUCCUAGAUCACACUCCUAAAUGUUCCUUAUAAUAAUGACUACUGGGACUUCCCUGGUGGCGCAGUGGUUAAGAAUCCGCCUGCUAAUGCAGGGGACACAGGUUCGAGCCCUGGUCCGGGAAGAUCCUAUGUGCCGCCGAGCAACUAAGCCCGUGCGCCACAACUACUGAAGCCCACGCGCCGUAGAGCCCGUGCUCCACAGCAACAGAAGCCACUGCAAUGAGAAGCCUGUGCACUGCAAUGAAGAGCGGUCCCCGCUCGCCGCAACUAGAGAAGGCCAGCGUGCAGCAACAAAGACCCAACGCAGCCAAAAGUAAGUUAAUUAAGAUAAUGACAAUGACUCUUACUACGACUAGAUUACUACUACGGUACCACACACUCGGCGGCUUUUAUUACUCUCACAGCUAAUGCUCAGGCUUCUAGAAUCCGGGCACUUCUCUAAGCCACGAGCACCCACUGUCACUGGACUCAUUCUGCUCUGCAGGUGUAGCUCCGUAUGGGUCACCUCCUUACCCACAGCAGUGGGAGCAGCUGCACAAUCGGCAGGGCCCGGAGCAAAAUGAAAAUGCAAAGGCCCUUAUUCAGAACCUACCAAGCAUUUCAAGAUGGCGACAGCAGAGCAUUAACCCACCAUCCACACCACGGUGCGGAGCUGAACAGCGCUCAACCCGCCCAGCUGAACGCGGCAGCCCUGCUCCCCAUUUACAUUUGCUGCCCCCAGUUCCUCCUCUCCCAGUUUUCCAUGGGGCGGCCAAAGUGAUCUUGAAAACUGUUUAUCAGCUAACAUUAUUCCUGGCUGGAAACCCACAAAUAAGUCCUCAUUGAAAUUUAGGUAAACCCAAAGUCACGGUCGUGAGCUUCUCAAGCGGGGAGCUGGAGCACACAGAUACAGCCAAACACUGAUAGCUAGUAGGUUUUCUGAGAUCCAGCUCCUCCCAGCCCCAGGGGCAGCCAGGCGGGACCCCGGGCAACUGGAGGUUCCUGGGCAUCCAUGCCCUGCACAGUCCCAGGGAAGUAAUCCCGUUAGAGCAGAGAACGGAGAGAGCCCUGCAGGUGCGGCGCCAGGCAUCCUUGUUGGAGUCCCACGCUGGCCACCUCCAACCACCAGCAGCCUGGGUGGAGCUCCUUGGAACGGGGUGCAAGGAUCCUGACAGCGUGGAACCCCACGCCCAGGGGAUCUGGACCCAGGCGUCAUCAUCCCUAUUCCCACCCCGGUUCCCCCCAGCAGCCACACCACCCAGAGCGGCUCUACCAAGAUCACCCCGAGCUUGUCCCUGCCUCAGGCCCUUCUCAUGUCCCCUCCGUCUGGAAGGCUGUGUUCUGGUCUCCGCGUGACGGGCCCCUUCUUUUCAUCCGGGUCUCAGCUCUCAUUUCACCUACUCAGGGAGGGCUUUCCUGACCUGCACUCUCCACUGCAUCACUGUUCUAUUCUGUCUUGAGCCUUUAUCCACUCGGACCUCACCUUGCUCACGGACUGGUCUCCCUGCUUGCUGCCCGGCUGCCCCUCUAGAACGGAGUCCCCGAGAGCCUGGGUGUGUCUGCCCGCUGCCACCGCCGCCCCCGCCCCGGGGGGCUGGUUCCCGACCUCAGGAAGGCGGGUUCUCUGAUUUGGGCAGCUGGAGUCCUGCACUCCACCAGUGAGAUGGCUCUUCCCAUCUGGGGGGACUAGGGCUUCCUCGGCCGGGUUCCCUGCGGGAACCAGACUUUGAGACGCUCCCAGUGGACAUUCACUCCUGCCCUCACCCAUCUGUGCCUCUCGACAGAUACAGACGCGCAUCACUGCUCAGCCCAAACCCUUCACUCUGAGCUGCUGGUCUUAGUUCCACCAGCCAUACCUGGCGGAAGGACGGCAGGGAGGGGACCACAGCCCUCUCCGUCAGAGGCUUACACUUCAGCAGAGGGUCAAGACCUAUGUGGGUAACCAGACAAAAUAAGAUGAGCCCGGCCAGAGAGACACAGUGAGUGAGGUAUGGGUGGUGGAGCGGCAGGAGGGAUAGAAGUGCGGGCAAACAGGUGUGGGUUCAUCUCUGGCCCCGGCUCCCUCCAGUGUGAGACAAGACAGGUAACUCCAGCCAGGUCUCAGUAUCCUCAUCUGCAAAGUGGGCACAACCGUAGCAGCCUCACCAGGUCAUCUGAGGGAUCUGAUGGCACGAUAUGCGUCAAGCCCUUUAGCGGCGCUCCGGGGUCAGAGUAGAUUUUUUAAUUCAUCGUAGUCUGCGUGAUGGUUAUCAUAGCUAAAUGGGGAGAAAGAGCGCAUUUCAGGUGUGAGAGGGGAGCAGUGUGCAAGGCAUAAACGGAUGGGAUCCUAGGGGCGGUGGCACUUGGCUCCUGUCGGGACCACUCGGGCAUCCUAUUUGCUCCGCAAAUCCGUACAUCACAGGUCACCCCGGCCCCAACGUGCAUCCUCCCUGCGAGAGCCCGCGACCCCCUCCAGUCAACCUGGCAUCACCUCUGAGUCCCUCUGCUGCCCCCCCACCUGAAUCACUUCAGCGACCUUCCAAGAAGCCAGGUACGCUCUCUCCAGCCCGGGUUUGCCCGCGGGUGGGUCAUGCCGGGCCCCGGCCCCCGGUCUUCAGUGACUUCCGGUCUUCAGUGAUUCCUUCUGCUUGGCCACGGUAACUCACCACGCACAGGUCCAACCUCCCUCUCCAGCCCCUGAGCCACUGCUGCCUGCCUGUCUGCCUGCUAUGGGUUGAACUGUGUCCUCCCCAAAAGAUAAGCUCAAGUCCUAACCCCCAUACCUCAGAAGGCGACCUAUUUAGAAACAGGGUCAUCGCUGGUGUAAUUAGCUAAGAUAAGGUUAUACUGGAGUGGGGUGAGUCCUUAGCCCAAUGUAACUGGUGUCCUUAAAACAAGAGGAGAGAAACAAGGUCCUACUGUAGAGCACAGGGAACUAUAUUCAAUAUCCUGCGACAAACCGUAAUGGAGGGGACUUCCCUGGUGGCGCAGUGGUUAAGAAUCCGCCUGCCAAUGCAGGGGACACAGGUUCGAUCCCUGGUCCAGGAAGAUCCCACAUGCCGCAGAGCAACUAAGUCCGUGCACCACAACUACUGAGCCUGCGCUCUAGAGCCCGUGAGCCACAACUACUGAGCCCACGAGCCACAGCUACGGAGCCCGCAUGCCUAGAGCCCGUGCUCCGCAACAAGAGAAGCCACUGCAAUGAGAAGCCCACGCACAGCAAUGAAGAGUAGCGCCCGCUCGCCGCAACUAGAGAAAGCCCGCGCGCAGCAACGAAGACCCAACACAGCCAAAAAUAAAUUUAAAAAAUAAAUAAACAAAAUAAAAUAAUUUAGAAAACCAUAAUGGAAAAGAAUAUGAAAAAGAAUAUUAUAUAUAUAUGUAGAACUGAAUCACUAUACUACACUUCAAUAAAAUUAAAAAAAAAAAAAAAAAAAGAAAAGAGGAGAGAGACACAGCGAGGAGACCUGCAGGUCUCUCGGAGGGCAGAUGGCCAAGUGACUGAGGAGACAAAGACCAGCGUUGGAUGCACACGCGACAACGCCUGGGGCUACCAGGCGGUGGAGAGGGAAGGAGCUCCUUCUAGAGCCUCAGAGGGAGCGUGACUCAGCCAGCACCUUGACCUUUGACUGCCAGCCUCCAGAACCGUGUGACAGAACACAUUUCUGUUGUUUUAAGCCCCUCCGUUUGUGGUGCUCGGUCACGGCAGCUCCUGGAAACGAACACACCAGCCUACAGAUCCCCGAAGUUCAGCCCGACAGGACUCUUCUUCCUGGAACGCUUCCCAUCCCCUCCCUGCCGUCCCGCACCCCACGUGCUGCUCGCCAGCCCGAUGCCCCGACUUGGCUGUAUCUCAGCCUGCAGGCCCGGCCUCUCUCCCCGCCCCUCCCAAUCCCUACCUAACCUUCAAAGCCUCCCAUUGUCACAAAGUCUUCCCUUAUUCCCCAGAAGGAUGGCUCUUGACUCUGACCUCCGGAGCUCCUGAACCCUCCUGGCAGCCUGAAUGUAGACACUCAUCUGACAGUAUCCGGGCGCUGACUAAAGGGGUUUCCGUGGGGCUGCUGACGCAGCCCCUGCCCUCACAUCCACGCACCCCGACGUGGGCCCAUCGGAGCAGCACAGCCCUCUCCUCAGCGAUCGGGCCCACGACCUGAGCAGGGCUAUUCAGAAUCCCAAACUGGCAUUUUCUGAACCAGGCAGAGAGGAAUAGCUUUUUCUCCCCCCCUCGAAUCUCAAGCUAAAAUGAUAUAAUCCCAGAAGGGCAAGGGCCUCACCUCUCACCCUAACCAGGAGCCUGAAAGAAUGGGUCAACGGGCUCAGAAGGCCAGACCGAAGACCGAGUCUCUCCAGAGUUUAGUCCACGAGCCAAAGCUGUGCCCCUUUGCGCUUCGGCUGGCAGAGCUGCGCUUCUCUUGUUUACAACCAGCCUCCUGGCUACCUCACUGGAGCUGAAACAGGAUAGGGGCCUGGAGCGCAACAGGUAACAGGACAAGGUCAGUCUCUGCCCUCAAGCUGCACAUGGUUCAGAGUCAGAGGUGGGCGACCCCAGCAUGUGAGAGGCCUCUGGGAAUCACGUGCUCCUCAAACAAGUCACGUGUAAGCUGAGACCUAUAGAUAUAUACGAAGUAUAAAGAUCCAGUCUGUUCUCUACGUCUGUGAGUCUGUUUCUGUUUUGUAGAUAGGUUCAUUUGUGCUGUAUUUUAGAUUCCACAUAGAAGUGACUGUAAAUCAUCUAUACUUCAAUAAAAAAAUAAAUA
Molecule: long non-coding RNA, 6055 nt
Organism: Orcinus orca (killer whale)
Lineage: Eukaryota; Metazoa; Chordata; Mammalia; Artiodactyla; Delphinidae
Exons: 2
Source: RefSeq, a predicted model, not a curated record